This 253-nucleotide ribosomal RNA is filed under the name uncultured bacterium. Its description in RNAcentral is "partial 16S ribosomal RNA". It matches the Rfam family "Bacterial small subunit ribosomal RNA", at positions 524 to 776 of the family's 1533-position model. The record is from RNAcentral.
UACGUAGGGUGCGAGCGUUGUCCGGAAUUAUUGGGCGUAAAGGGCUCGUAGGCGGUUUGUCGCGUCGGGAGUGAAAAUCCAGGGCUUAACUCUGGACUGGCUUCCGAUACGGGCAGACUAGAGGUAUGCAGGGGAGAACGGAAUUCCUGGUGUAGCGGUGAAAUGCGCAGAUAUCAGGAGGAACACCAAUGGCGAAGGCAGCUCGCUGGGACGGUACUGACGCUGAGACGCGAAAGCGUGGGGAGCAAACAGG